RNAcentral lists this non-coding RNA (98 nucleotides) under Otolemur garnettii (small-eared galago). Lineage: Eukaryota; Metazoa; Chordata; Mammalia; Primates; Galagidae. The record is from RNAcentral.
GGUGCUACUGCAAUGUGAUUUGCAGCUAAUUGGUGGCAACCAGUUACAGAUUCCUUUGUUCCUUCUCCACUCCCACUGCUUCAGUUGACUAGCCUUAA